This 506-nucleotide ribosomal RNA is filed under the name uncultured bacterium. RNAcentral describes it as "partial 16S ribosomal RNA". It matches the Rfam family "Bacterial small subunit ribosomal RNA", at positions 30 to 507 of the family's 1533-position model. The record is from RNAcentral.
CGACCGCUGGCGGCGUGCCUACUACAUGCAAGUCGAACGCUUCUUUCCUCCCGAGUGCUUGCACUCAAUUGGAAAGAGGAGUGGCGGACGGGUGAGUAACACGUGGGUAACCUACCCAUCAGAGGGGGAUAACACUUGGAAACAGGUGCUAAUACCGCAUAACAGUUUAUGCCGCAUGGCAUAAGAGUGAAAGGCGCUUUCGGGUGUCGCUGAUGGAUGGACCCGCGGUGCAUUAGCUAGUUGGUGAGGUAACGGCUCACCAAGGCCACGAUGCAUAGCCGACCUGAGAGGGUGAUCGGCCACACUGGGACUGAGACACGGCCCAGACUCCUACGGGAGGCAGCAGUAGGGAAUCUUCGGCAAUGGACGAAAGUCUGACCGAGCAACGCCGCGUGAGUGAAGAAGGUUUUCGGAUCGUAAAACUCUGUUGUUAGAGAAGAACAAGGACGUUAGUAACUGAACGUCCCCUGACGGUAUCUAACCAGAAAGCCACGGCUAACUACGUG